AGUUCCAUGAUUUCAACCAAUCAGAUUGGUUUUAUACGCUAUUCUGAUUGAAGCUGUUGAAACAUAAGACUUGUGAGAGCU
This 81-nucleotide small nucleolar RNA is filed under the name Oryza punctata. Its description in RNAcentral is "snoRNA U54". It matches the Rfam family "Small nucleolar RNA U54". Rfam says of the family: U54 is a C/D box small nucleolar RNA, which acts as a methylation guide for 18S ribosomal RNA in plants. Lineage: Eukaryota; Viridiplantae; Streptophyta; Magnoliopsida; Poales; Poaceae. The record is from Rfam by way of RNAcentral.